GGGGUAUAGAGGGAGAAUAUAGGGGAACCAUUGUGGAAGAUAAAAAAAUAGAGGAUAAAAUAUUGGUAAUAUGACAAAAAAAUAUGAUAUAGUAGGAAAAAUUUAAGAAAACCGCUGAAGAUAGUCUAAGCAUCGGUAACAGGAUUAGUGGCUUCCUACAAUAUUCAGAGUGAAAGGUUGCUAAAAUUUUGUCGGGUCAAAAGCAAUUCAAAUUUGAACCACAUUUGGAUCACAGGCAUUUUUGCUCAAAAGCCUGCGUAGGACCAGCUGCAACUUAGAAUAAUUGGCUCAUCAAAUUUGUUCAAACAACCCACUUGACGAAAGCCUUUCAAUUGACAGUAGCACACUAGCCAGGAUGACAACUUUAGAGACAAACCACUAUCAUCAACCAUUCUUCGAACACAUGCUCAGCUCUUGACUAGUAAUAUAUGUUCUCAGAAAAUAUAGAUGGAUUUGUGUGUGUGCACAGGGAGGGGAGGGAGCUAAAGCCACUGCGCUUUCUCAAUCUAAACAGCGAUGAGAAAGCAGUAGACACAGGUGAGGAGCAUUCGCUUUUUCCACUAGCAACAAUACAAACUCCUUAUCCUAAUCCAACCUAAAAUCUCCAAAUUAC
Molecule: long non-coding RNA, 613 nt
Filed under: Zea mays
Lineage: Eukaryota; Viridiplantae; Streptophyta; Magnoliopsida; Poales; Poaceae
Description: long non-coding RNA NONZMAT000681
Source: RNAcentral